Molecule: long non-coding RNA, 1017 nt
Filed under: Oryctolagus cuniculus (rabbit)
Lineage: Eukaryota; Metazoa; Chordata; Mammalia; Lagomorpha; Leporidae
Description: lncRNA (ENSOCUG00000039524.1)
Source: RNAcentral
GAGCCGCAUCCCAGAAUUGGAGCAGCCCCCAGGAGCACAUGGCUGCAGUUGGGGACUUCACCAGGCCGAGGCAGAGCCCAGCGGACAGAGCGCGGGAUUAAAUGCCCCAGACUCUCGCUCCCACCACCGUUGGCCUCGGGCCACUGCCUCUUAUUGGCUAACAAGGAGCCCAGGUGGAGCGAUCAGCAGGGGUCGGUAGUGGGGUCAGGGUGGGGCAGAGAAGGACCGGCAGGGGUGGAGCAUGGAUGGGGGGGAGAAGCUGGGUGGGGGAGUAGCCUGGAGCCCCCAGCAUCAGCCCUGAGCUGCCCUUGCUGCUGCUUGGGUCUGGCCCAGCCACCUGUCCUACAUCAAGACCUUCGACGUGGGCACACGCUACAUGGUGAACCGAGUGCAGGACCACGUCCAGAGCCGCACAGUCUACUACCUCAUGAACAUCCACGUCACACCCCGCUCCAUCUACCUGUGCCGGCAUGGAGAGAGCGAGCUCAACCUCAGGGGCCGCAUCGGAGGAGACUCUGGCCUCUCAGCUCGGGGCAAGCAGGUAGGGAGAGCCCCGUGCACCCCCACGCGUGGCUGAGCUGGCCCAGGUGUGGUUGGGGCGGAGCUGGACAGGCAGGGUGGUGCUGCCUGGGUCCUGAGGAGGGGCCCACACUAGAGCUGGGCCAGGAGCAGGUUCUGCCCACGCCUGCCUUCCUCCCCAUCAGCCACUCAGUGUGGACGCAUCCUUGGUGGCUCCCAGGUGCCAGCGGCUUCUGCGGGUCUCCUAGCUGGAGCCCGGCCCUCCAGGCCCGCCCCAGUCUGCCUGCUCCAUCACAUGACCCCCCUUCACCCCUGCCUGGCAGGUCCCCUCAUCCCUCUCACCACACUGUGCCUUCGCUUGCUGCCUGCGGUCCCCUCUGGUCGCUGGUCACCACUCUGGCAGACAGCUGCCUGGAGGGCCCCACGCUGAAUCCCUUCUCUGCGACUUGGGGCUGCUGCCACCCUCCCCACCGCAGGGGUCACGCGGUCAGCAGCUGA